AGUCGAGCGGAGAGAGGUAGCUUGCUACUGAUCUUAGCGGCGGACGGGUGAGUAAUGCUUAGGAAUCUGCCUAUUAGUGGGGGACAACAUUUCGAAAGGAAUGCUAAUACCGCAUACGUCCUACGGGAGAAAGCAGGGGAUCUUCGGACCUUGCGCUAAUAGAUGAGCCUAAGUCGGAUUAGCUAGUUGGUGGGGUAAAGGCCUACCAAGGCGACGAUCUGUAGCGGGUCUGAGAGGAUGAUCCGCCACACUGGGACUGAGACACGGCCCAGACUCCUACGGGAGGCAGCAGUGGGGAAUAUUGGACAAUGGGCGCAAGCCUGAUCCAGCCAUGCCGCGUGUGUGAAGAAGGCCUUAUGGUUGUAAAGCACUUUAAGCGAGGAGGAGGCUACUUUAGUUAAUACCUAGAGAUAGUGGACGUUACUCGCAGAAUAAGCACCGGCUAACUCUGUGCCAGCAGCCGCGGUAAUACAGAGGGUGCAAGCGUUAAUCGGAUUUACUGGGCGUAAAGCGCGCGUAGGCGGCUAAUUAAGUCAAAUGUGAAAUCCCCGAGCUUAACUUGGGAAUUGCAUUCGAUACUGGUUAGCUAGAGUGUGGGAGAGGAUGGUAGAAUUCCAGGUGUAGCGGUGAAAUGCGUAGAGAUCUGGAGGAAUACCGAUGGCGAAGGCAGCCAUCUGGCCUAACACUGACGCUGANGUGCGAAAGCAUGGGGAGCAAACAGGAUUANAUACCCUGGUAGUCCAUGCCGUAAACGAUGUCUACUANCCGUUGGGGCCUUUGAGGCUUUAGUGGCGCAGCUAACGCGAUAAGUANACCGCCUGGGGAGUACNGUCGCAAGACUAAAACUCAAAUGAAUUGACNGGGGCCCGCACANCGGUGGANCAUGUGGUUUAAUUCGAUGCNACGCGAANAACC
This 915-nucleotide ribosomal RNA is filed under the name uncultured bacterium. Its description in RNAcentral is "bacterial SSU rRNA". It matches the Rfam family "Bacterial small subunit ribosomal RNA", at positions 60 to 970 of the family's 1533-position model. The record is from RNAcentral.